RNAcentral lists this transfer RNA (39 nucleotides) under Hydrangea macrophylla. RNAcentral describes it as "partial tRNA-His". The record is from RNAcentral. Lineage: Eukaryota; Viridiplantae; Streptophyta; Magnoliopsida; Cornales; Hydrangeaceae. RNAcentral also lists the same sequence under 63 other names.
GCGGAUGUAGCCAAGUGGAUCAAGGCAGUGGAUUGUGAA